CCCCGGGCGGGGUGGCGGCCGGGAGCCGCCUGAAGGCGGCGGCCGCGGCGCGCUUGAACCGGCUGAAGAAGAAGCAAUACGUGCUGGGACUGGAGAGCCGCCUGCAGGGCCUGGCCGCUGAGAACCGGCAGCUGCGGGACCGCAACCGGGGGCUGAACCGGCGCCUGCGGGAUCUGGAGUGGGAGACCAGCUACCUGCGGGCCGUCCUGGCCAACCAAAGCGCCCUGGGGCAGCUGCUGAGCCGCCUGGCCGGGGCGGGAGGGCUCAGGCUCCGUACCAGCCUCUUCAGGGACACGGACCCGCCCCAUCAGCACCCGCCACAGGCCGGCGAGAGCCGCGACCACGACUACGCCCUGCCGAGCCAGGAUGCUGGGGAGUCGGAGGGGGAGGAGCGGCCGGCCUCCGGCGGGAUCUGCCUCCACGUGGACAGGGAUCAGUUGUCGGUGGAGUUCUGCUCCUUGUGUGCCAGGCGGGCAUGUGCCUCCUUCAAAAUUUUCUUUUUUAGGUGCUUGCCCUGCCAGGCUCCGUUGUGUAGGGGUUAAAGAACAGUCGUUUUCCACCUCGCAACCUGUGGAUACAGCUGUGUUGGGGCAGAAGAGACGGGACCAGCUGCUGGCCACAUUUCCUGCUUUAUUUUAAAAGGUAGUAUAAGAAAUGGGGGAAAAAGAGGUAACAGGGCUUCUGCUGUCUUUCAUUUUUGAAAAGCUUGAAUGUUUGGAAAAACUAAUCUCACCAAUCCAAAGUUAGUGUGAUACUAAUUUGAAAAGUGACAAUGUACAAAGGUAAACUUCUGCUUUCUUUGUAUUCAGAGUUGCAUGUUCACAGAAGUACAGAGCCAGCACAGCUAAGAACUAGUUAGCUGUGGAUUCUGUUCCAUCAUAUGCAGUAUCAGCUGGAUUGUCUAUAUAGAGUUCCAGUUUUUUACACUUCUACAACCACAUUGUAGGCAGUGGGGUAGUCCAAGUGUCAUUAAGAGCCUAAUGUAACCUUUAGAGCUCUUAUUCUUGGUGAUGUGUGAGCUGGGAAGAACUGGACUUGAUUGAGCCUAGACUGAAUUUGUACAGCUCAUAGUUGGAGAAACGCAUCUUUAAUUGUAAUCAUCUUAUUCAACAAAAGUAUUAAAACAAUAAGCAUGGAAGACUCCAUGGCAUUUUUAGUCAGCUUUAAGAUAACUUUUUAAGUUAUCUUAACUUAAAUGUGACAUUAUUUUGCUCUAGAAUAGGAUUCCCCCUUUUUGCACAAUUAUAAACACUUCAUUGUUAGAUCAAAGCAAUUUGGGACUUAAUCGUGGCCUCUAAUAUGCACAUGUGCAUCAUUGCGUUCUGUAAAAUCUACUGCAUAUGAGCAACAGCUAAUUUUACAACAUGCAAAAUGAUGUGUGCCUGUACAACUAAGAAUAACUCCACUCCCAAGAACGUGACUGCAGGGAUUUUUAGUGCCUUCUGAAUCAUAUGUAAGCCAAACAGAGGGGAAAAUUCUUUGAACGCUAAUCAAUUUGUGCUAUCUAUAUGGAAUAUUGUUAAAUAUAGCUUUUUGAAGCAGAAGCCUUGAACUGAUAUCUUAACAAUACUUGAAAAACUGGUAAAUGUUUCUUUGUAAUUAGCUCUGUGCUGUACAAUAAGAAUACAGUACUAUAAUAAAACCAGAUGUGUCGAUCUUUCA
Molecule: long non-coding RNA, 1662 nt
Filed under: Chelonoidis abingdonii (Abingdon island giant tortoise)
Lineage: Eukaryota; Metazoa; Chordata; Testudines; Testudinidae
Description: lncRNA (ENSCABG00000000018.1)
Source: RNAcentral